UUGCAGUUAAAAAGCUCGUAGUUGGAUUUCUGUGGGGACGGAGCGGCCGGCCGCAACACGCGGUUCGAGCUAGCGCUUUCCCUACAUCCUGCCGCGAACCGUGCUACCAUUAGUUUGGUGGCGCUGGGGAUCGGCUCGAUUACUUUGAGAAAAAUAGAGUGUUCAAAGCAGGCCACACGCCUUGAAUAAGUUAGCAUGGAGUAAUAACUAAGGACUUCGGUUCUAUUUUAUUGGUGUUCGGGACUGAAGUAGUGAUUGAUAGGGACAGUUGGGGCGGUCAGUAUUCCAAAGCGAGAGGUGAAAUUCUUAGACCUUCGGAAGACUAACAGCUGCGAAAGCGUUCCGCAAGGAUGUUCCCUUUGAUCAAGAACGAAAGUUGGGGGAUCGAAGACGAUCAGAUACCGUCGUAGUCUUAACUAUAAACUAUGCCAGCUAGGGAUCGGCCAACGUUAUUCUAUACCGACUUGGUCGGCACCUUAUGAGAAAUCAAAGCAUCUGGGUUCCGGGGGGAGUAUGGUCGCAAGGCUGAAACUUAAAGGAAUUGACGGAAAGGCACCACCAGCCGUGGAGCCUGUGGGCUUAAUUUGACUCAACCCC
Molecule: ribosomal RNA, 597 nt
Filed under: uncultured marine eukaryote
Lineage: Eukaryota
Description: bacterial SSU rRNA
Rfam family: Eukaryotic small subunit ribosomal RNA
Source: RNAcentral